This 301-nucleotide unclassified non-coding RNA is filed under the name Zea mays. RNAcentral describes it as "misc RNA Zm00001eb389200". The record is from RNAcentral. Lineage: Eukaryota; Viridiplantae; Streptophyta; Magnoliopsida; Poales; Poaceae.
CGGCGCGCGUCCGCCGCCGUCAGGCCCGUCCGCCUGGCCCACGCCUCGAGCACCGCCUCGCCGCGCGAGCGCGGGCCCGGGCUGCCGCCCCCGCGGGUCCGCCGCGGCGGCGGCGCCGCAGAGUCGACCGCCGUGGACACGCAGGAGCUCGCCCCGGACUCGUACCCGCACUCGUCCGGCGCCGCGAGGAGGAGGCGCGUGCGGCGGUGGCGCGACGCGAGGAAGUUGGCGCCGUGCACCUUGGCGUCGCAGGCGGCGCAGAGGAAGGCCGCGUCCGCCGCGCAGUGCACGGCCGCGGGCG